GUCAAAUAAAGCCUUUAUGACAUCAGGUCACCUAGUGAGGCUUGGACUCUUACAAGAGAAGAAUCCAAUCCUCUGGGUUGUGGCUGUCACAGCACACUCCUUGCAGGACUUCUCUGACCGCCUACUAACCCACGCUCCACCAUAGCACCAGGAAACAAGACCAUGGAUGCUCAGAAUAUGAACCUGCUCAUAGGAGGUCUGUGCCUAUGCGCUGGGUAAAGCAGGGACUCUAGAACAAGCAAGUAAUCUCAGCACUGUGGCUGGGAAGAGGGCGCUUAUAGACAUCCUCCGGCAUCCUUUGUACUCACGGCGUGAUGCUGCUGCUGAUGUGCUUUUGCUCCGUAACAGAUGAACCAGGGGCCGCUGGGUCAACAGACUACAAUUCCAGUGCUUUACUGAGAGUCAGGGAGGCCAGCAGGUCCAUCCUAAGAACGGGUUUGAUCCUCUCAUGCAAGACUGCAAAGGGCUUAUUUUUUGCCAUCUGUAAAAGGCUCUUGGUUGAGAGUUUGAUAACUGAGUCCUUUAAAGAGGCCGUCAAAAGUCACCAUUUGUAUUUGAAA
Molecule: long non-coding RNA, 560 nt
Organism: Rattus norvegicus (Norway rat)
Lineage: Eukaryota; Metazoa; Chordata; Mammalia; Rodentia; Muridae
Source: RefSeq, a predicted model, not a curated record